UACGUAGGGUGCGAGCGUUAAUCGGAAUUACUGGGCGUAAAGCGUGCGCAGGCGGUGAUGUAAGACCGAUGUGAAAUCCCCGGGCUUAACCUGGGAACUGCAUUGGUGACUGCAUUGCUGGAGUAUGGCAGAGGGGGGUGGAAUUCCACGUGUAGCAGUGAAAUGCGUAGAGAUGUGGAGGAACACCGAUGGCGAAGGCAGCCCCCUGGGCUGACACUGACGCUGAGGCACGAAAGCGUGGGGAGCAAACAGG
RNAcentral lists this ribosomal RNA (253 nucleotides) under uncultured bacterium. RNAcentral's name for it is "partial 16S ribosomal RNA". It matches the Rfam family "Bacterial small subunit ribosomal RNA", at positions 524 to 776 of the family's 1533-position model. The record is from RNAcentral.